Physeter macrocephalus (sperm whale) is the source of this 6627-nucleotide long non-coding RNA. RefSeq lists it as uncharacterized. NCBI's taxonomy places the organism in Eukaryota, Metazoa, Chordata, Mammalia, Artiodactyla, Physeteridae. The record is from RefSeq and is a predicted model, not a curated record. The transcript is spliced from 2 exons.
CUUCAGUAACAGAGGAAGGAAAACAUCGAAAGCAUUUACCACCUCAUUUGUGUGCUGGAGAAAAAGCAGAAGAGCACAUUUUGUGUGUAAGAUGAUUCCUUGUGCAAAGUGGAUUAGUGGUAAUCGAAACUGCAGUCGCCUGGUUGGGAGAGGGGAUGACAGAAGGUCCUUCUCCGGGAUCCUCACUGUGAAUGCCCCUUGCCUGAACUUCCUUUUUUACUUUUUUCUGAGAGUCCUGGAAUUCCGAUUGCUUUUUGCCCACCCUGUGUGCCAGGAUCUAGAAGUGAGUCACUUCCUUUUUCAGGCAUGAUCACAAUUCGGUUGUGAGUCAGUGGGGUGUGGGGUGUGGGGUGUAUUGUAGAGGCAACUCUGAGGGAGAUAUCCUGUUUGGCUCAGUAGCUGGGCGAUGCAUUUAUCAGUCUGUGUUCUGAUAGCAGUAGAUUCCAAAGCUCAGCUCAUUCACUUCUCUUGAAUGAAUGAGCUCUCCACUGGGGCCACCUCCAGCCUGGCCUCCUUGUAGUUCAAUUACCAAGUUCUGUUGAUGCUUGUCAACACUCUUUGUAUUUCUAUCUUUAUCAUCUGUAGCCUCCUUGUGGCCCCUCCUAAUCUCACCUGACUGGUUUCCUAACCUCUGGCAGGAACCUUGGACACGAUCUUUGAAGACUUAAGAGUUUCCGUUUUGAAACUGAGGUGUAAUUGACAUACUAUAAAAUGGACAGAUAAGUAAAGAGUUCAGUGAGUUGUGAUAAACAUCUACUUCUAUGUAACCACCUCUCAUUAGGAUCUAGAGAAUUUCUCGCCUCCCAGAAAGUUCCCGGAAAGCCAUUUACGCCCGAGCCUGUGUGUCUGAGCACCUCACCACACUGCCUCUCAGGGAGUCUACACAAAAGUGCUGGGUGAACCAUCAAAGUAGAAAUGGAUGAAGGGAUACAUUAUUCUUCCAUGCAUCCCUUUACCAGAAAUGCCAAAUCAGGUUUCUCCAUCCGUGCAUGCAUAUUUGAGAACUCAAAUACAUACAUAUACACAUGUACACAUAAAUACAUAAGUAAGUAAGUAGCUGUUUUUUUUUUUGUUUGUUUGUUUUGUGCGGUACGCGGGCCUCUCACUGUUGUGGCCUCUCCCGUUGGGGAGCACAGGCUCCGGACGUGCAGGCUCAGCGGCCAUGGCUCACGGGCCCAGCCGCUCCGCGGCAUGUGGGAUCUUCCCGGACCGGGGCACGAACCCGCAGCCCCUGCAUCAACAGGCGGACUCGCAACCACUGCGCCCCCAGGGAAGCCCCAGUAGCUGUUUUUUAAAGAAUAACUUACAAGGAAAAGCAACCCAAACGUUAGUUUCAUUGUGCUCCAUAGACUCCAGGGCAGUGAAAGAUGAUCUUUUUGCAAGGUUCUCCAAAAGUCCUAAAAAUGCAGAACAUUCCUUGACAGCUGGAAUCAGGCCAUGGAAAGUCAUCCACCAUCAUCUUACCUUUUCCUGGCAUCCUGUGGCUGCAGUAAAAGGUUUCCUCCCUCUUGUAUAAAUGUAAUACACUCAUCUGGGUAGUGGAACAGUUUACCAAAGGAAGCCAGAGGAGAGUGAUAAAGUACAGCAUAUGGUGUCCCAUUUCUCCAGGAAGGUGGUUUUCAAACUGGGUCCCAGAGCCCCUGACCCCCAUAGCCCUCAACCCAGACUCAAGAUCGGGUUCAAGGCUGAGUGAAAUGUUCAAGGGCCUCCAGAGGUCUCUGGCCUUGUCAACCCCCAUUGGAAUGGCCAAAGCCACCAAGAGCCGACAAAAAGGGAGGUUUAUUGAAUCAGGGGAAUUAGGGCUAAUGCCAGGGAUAGGCACUGACUGAUAUCUUAGUUCUUUCACUUAAUCAUUUUCUUCCUUUAUUUAAAAAAAGAAAAAAAAUCUCAAGAAUAAAGCAUUCUUAGAAGAAAACCAAAGAACCUGAAGUGAAUUAAAGAAGGCCCCUUGCCACUAUUUCCUAUGCAGAAGCACAGAUAAGACUUUGUUUCUUCCAAAAAUAGGAUCACACUGAAAACUGUUCCAAACUCUUCUGCCCCUUGCUUUUUUCCCCAUUUAGCAAAACACUGUGGACAGCUUUCCACAGUGUCACAACGUAGGAUGAUUGACAUCACCUUUUUCAGUGCCUCUAAAGAACCUGCAUUAUUAGGUAUCGAUUUUGCAUGUGUGGCUACAUAUUUACAUUUGAAUAUAGGCAUACCUUCUUAAGUUAGGUUAUGUAUUAAUGACCUAUUGCAUAUCAAAUUACCCCAAAACUUAGUGGCUGAAAACAAUACACAUUUGUUAUCUCCAAGUUUCUGUGGGUCAGGAAUUUGGAAGCAGCAUAGCCAGAUGGUUCUGGCUCAGGAUCUCACAUGAAGUUGCCAUCUAGAUACCCCAGGAAAAAAUAUAUUUGCAGGGGCUGCAGUCAUCUGAGGGCUCAAUGGGGGCUGAAGGUUCCCUUCCAAGAUGGUGUCCUCAGUGGCUUUUCACAGAAGGCCUCAGGCACUCACUGCAUGGAGCACCUCAGCGUGUGCAAAGGGCUUCCCCCAGAGUAAGCAAUCCAAGAGAUUCUGGUGGAGGCUGCAGUGGCUUCAUGAUGUAGGGUCAGAAGGCACACCUCAUCACGUUUGCCUUUUUCUAUAUAUUAGAAACAAGUCCUGAGUACACGCCAGGCGUGGGGAAUUAGGCUCACAUUUUGGAGGGAGUGUCAUGGAAUUUGCGGUCAUAUUUUAAAAUACCACUGGGCUUCCCUGGUGAUGCAGUGGUUAAGAAUCUGCCUGCCAAUGCAGGGGACACGGGUUUGCGCCCUGGUCAGGGAAGAUCCCACAUGCCACGGAGCAACUAAGUCUGUGCACCACAACUACUGAGCCUGCGCUCUAGAGCCUGCGUGCCACAAGAACUGAAGCCUGCGCACCUUGAGCCUGUGCUCCGCAACAAGAGAAGUCACCACAAUGAGAAGCCCGUGCACCGCAACGAAGAGUAGCCCCCACUCUCAGCAACUAGAGAAAGCACUCAUGCAGCAAUGAAGACCCAACGAAGCCAAAAAUAAAUAAAUACAUAAAUAAAUAAAAAUGCCACCAAUUGUUCCCCUCUUUUCUCUAUUAUAAGAAAAGUUUUAGGGACUCCCCUGCGGUCCAGUGAUUAGGACUCCGAGCUUCCACUGCAGGGGGCAUGGGUUCGAUCCCUGGUGGGGGAAGUAAGAUCCUGCAUGCCGCGGGGCACAGCCAAAAUAAACAAACAAACAGAAAAAGCUUUGGACCUCUUUUGAACUUGACAUUGUUAUACACCUGUGUUAAUAUUUCUUCUGGGUCCCAGGGACUUUGCACUUUAAAUUUUGACAGAUUCUGCCCUGUUGCCCUCCUAAGAGGUGGAAUGUGGAAGAGUUCCACUUUUCCAAAAUCUUUCCCCGGCAAAGGUGAUGGACCCGGCCCUGAUUUUUGGCAUACCUAUUGAACAAAUCUUACUGUGACUGUGUCAGGCCUUGGGCUCUGACGGUUUCAUGCUGAAAGGAUGAAAAAGACAUUCCUUACUCUCAAGGAGUUUAAGUCUAGGCUGGGGGAUACACAAUGAACAGGUGCUUUCGAUACAGUGUGUUAGGAGUGAGAAAUGGGUGUUUCAGGGGCUCACGGGGGUGCCAAACCCAGUUUUGGGGAAGGUCAGCUUCAAAGUUGAACUGUUAGGGACUUCCCUGGUGGUUCAGCGGGUAAGACUCGGCACUCCCAAUGAAGGGGGCCCAGGUUCAAUCCCUGGUCAGGGAACUAGAUCCCGCAUGCCGCAAGAAAGAAGCCCUCAUGCUGCAACUAAAAGAUCCUGCAUGCCACAACUCAGACCCGGCAAAGCCAAAAUAAAUAAAGAAAUAAUAAAAUAAAUAAAUAAAUAUUCAAAGUUGAACUGUUAGCCAAACAAACAGGUGGGAGUUGGGGGGGUGCUUUGCAGCAGAGGGAACUGCAGGGAUUUGGGAUCUGAGGUUGUGAAAUUUUUACCAGAUCCAGUACAGAGGCAGAGAAUGCCAUUUCCAUAAGACUGUAAUUCACACUGCUUUGGAGUGGGGACAGUUGGUGAAAUCUGGUGACCUCAGGGCCUCCCUCUUCCUUGUUUAUAGAGGUUUCAGGAUGGCAUUUUAUGGGGAAAACAGAUGUCUUGCAGAUGGGUGUGUAUGAAAGGAAAUGGGAUGGGUGAAGGGAACACCAGCCAUACAUCCGUGAGCUUGGAAAAGUAUCCAGGCAUGUUCUUUUGUUCUCUUCCGGCUGUGGGCCACCUUCACCUCUCUGCCACCUUAUGUCUUGACUUUAACUUAGAUGGAGACCACACUUCCAUUUUGGGCCAAGAAUGGGAUGAGUUGGAGACUCAUAGCUCUUCCUUCAUCAUCAUAAGUUCUGGCUUUCACAUGCCUUCCAGCCCUAAAGACUUUUUUCCCCACUGAUGCUCCCCAAACCUUUAUUCACAUUCAUUGUUCAUUUUAAAGAACUGCAGUGGGGACUUCCCUGGUGGCACAGUGGUUAAGAAUCUGCCUGCCAGUGCAGGGGACACGGGUUCGAUCCCUGGCCCGGGACAAUCCCACAUGCCACGGAGCAACUACUGAGCCUGCAUGCCUAGAGUCUGUGCUCCACAACAAGAGAAGCCACCGCAAUGAGAAGCCCGCGCACUGCAUCGAAGAGCAGCCCCCGCUCGCUGCAACUAGAGAAAGCCAGCACAUGGCAACAAAGACCCAACACAGCCAAAAAUAUUUAAUGAAAGGAAGGAAGGAAGGAAGAAAAAGAACGAACUGCAGUCAUCUAAUGUAUGUCAUCUUUCACCUCAAGGACUUGGAAAAAAAAUUACCUUCUUAUUUUGGGAUUAUAUUCAAUGUAAAAAAAAGUUGCAAAGAUAUUACAGAGAAUUCUCAUACCCCUCAUCCAUUUUCCCCCAAUAUUAGCAUCUUACAUACUACAGUACGUGUCAAAACUAAGAGAUUUAACAUUUGUAUAUUACUAUGAACUCCAGACUUUCUUUGGAUUUCUUUUUCUUUAAUGGUCCUUUCCUCUUCCAAGAUCCAAUCCAGUAUUUCACAUCACAUUUGGGCCCUAAAGUCUUUGAUCCUAGUCUUAACCAGUUGGUCUCCCAACUCUUUUAAUUAAUUAAUUUACUUUUAUUUUUUGCUGUGUUGGGUCUUCGUUUCUGAGCGAGGGCUUUCUCUAGUUGCGGCAAGCAGGGGCCACUCUUCAUCGCGGUGCGCGGGCCUCUCACUAUCGCGGCCUCUCUUGUUGCGGAGCACAGGCUCCAGACGCGCAGGCUCAGCAGCUGUGGCUCACGGGCCCAGUUGCUCCGCGGCAUGUGGGAUCCUCCCAGACCAGGGCUCGAACCCGCGUCCCCUGCAUCGGCAGGCAGAUUCUCAACCACCGCGCCACCAGGGAAGCCUCCACUCCCAGCUCUUUUAAUCGCAUACCCUCAUUGGUUAAAAAAAUUUUGAGGAAGUCCUCACUAAUAUAAUUAUUUAUCAUAUACUGUACUAAUGUAUGAUGUACAUUACAAACCAUAACUAUACAGAAAAGCAGAAAUGUUAAAAAGGUGAGAUAAAAAUCAGACACACAACAUUUAAAAAUAUCUUGUUAUUCGUGAUGGCUUCCUACUAUGGUUAGUUAAAAUCUGAAAUCAUGAUGUAGUCAGAGCAAGUGUUUUUUUUGCAAAAGUGAUUCAGAUUCUUUUUCAAUUUCUUUUCUCUUAUAGGUUAUUACAAGAUAUUAAGUGUAUAGUUCCCUGUGCUAUACAGUAGGUCCUUGUUGGUUAUCUAUUUUAUAUAUAGUAGUGUGUAUAUGUUAAUCUCAACCUCCUAAUUUAUCUGUCUCUCACUCCUUUCCUCUUUGGUAACCAUAAGACUGUUCUCUGUGUCUAUGGGUCAUUUUCUGUUUUGUAAUAAGUUCAUUUGUAUCUUUUUUUUAAGAUUCCACAUAUAAGCAAUAUUGUAUGAUAUUUGUCUUUGUCUGGUUUACUUCACUUAGUAUGAUAACCCUAGGUCCAUCCAUGUUGCUGCAAAUGGCAUUAUUUCAUUCUUUUUUAUGGCUGAGUAUUAAGAGCAAGGUUAAUCAUUAGCAACUGGGCACAGAAGACCACAUUUCAAAGGGUGUCCUUGAUCAUUUUGAUUUUUUUUUUUUAGCUUGACCUUCUAUCAUAUCUGAUUAGGUCUCUUUUUAUCUUGUACGUUGAGGGUAGGAGGGGCAAAAAAUGCUCAUUAAUAGGAAUAAACUUGGGACUUCCCUGGCGGUCCAGUGGUAAGACUUUGCCUUCCAGUGCAGGGGGUGUGGGUUCGAUUCCUGGUCGCGGAGCUAGGAUCCCACACGCCUGGUGGCCAAAACAUAAAACAGAAACAUUAUUGUAACAAAUUCAAUAAAGACUUAAAAAAAAUAGGAAUAAACUUUUCAAUGCUGCCAUCUAAGGUCGGGAAGUUUGCACAUUUACAUCCACUCACAGCUCAUUAGCUUAAACUCAGUCCCAUGGCCACACCUAGCUACAAGGAAAAUUGGGAAAUUAUAGAUCCUCUUUUGGGUCGUGUGCCCAGCUAAAAAUCAUAUAUUUUAGAAAACUGCCCAAACACUUACUUUGUCCUCAUUUUUAUCUCAAAAUCCAAGUCUUUGUUUUCCUAAGGAAAGUUUUCUCUUGAUCAGAUC